Capsicum annuum is the source of this 804-nucleotide long non-coding RNA. RefSeq lists it as uncharacterized. NCBI's taxonomy places the organism in Eukaryota, Viridiplantae, Streptophyta, Magnoliopsida, Solanales, Solanaceae. The record is from RefSeq and is a predicted model, not a curated record. The transcript has 2 exons.
AGGAAAAUCAGCAGGGCGUGAGUGUGUGUAAAUUAAUGUAGUGGGAUGACAUUGAUCAAUAUUUCUAUGACUUUUUAUGUUUCUUUCUUCAGUUUCUUGUAUUCUUACUUUUUUCACCUGAUAAAGUUUUAUGCACAUUUUAUGCAUCAGAUCCUGAGAACAUUGAAAGGAAGGGAAGGAUAAGUCACUUUGGUACAAUCAUGGAAGGAGACCAAGAGAAGGAGGAAACAAACAACUCAUUGCCACCAAAUGCCGCGAUUUCCACUCUAAGUCUCUAUUUGAAACAUACAUGGGAUUGCUAAUUCUGAUAUGAUGGGAAAGAAGGAAGUUAUAUAGAAGGUCUGCAAUCUCAAUUUAUCUCAAAUUUUUGUAAAUCUUUCAAGAAAUACAUCAUCACAAACUAAGUUGCUCGGACUCUUCAACUAUGUCUAUGGGUGUGUGUUGGAUCCUCCAAAAAUAGUGUAUUUUUGAAGGAUCCGACACGGGUGCGGCAACAUUUUUGAAGAGUCCGAGCAACUUAGAUCACAAACAUGUGACAACUCUUCAGGUACUGAAAUCAUUGAGAAAUCCAAUGCAACAAGAAGUGGGAUAUUCGCGUGCAAAGAGUUUGAAUUGUGAUGCAGAGUGGUGGAAUCAACCAUCGAUAAGCAUUUGGUGUUUGGGGCUAUUGUAAUUAAUUAUCAAGAUGUUUAAAUAGGUGUUUCUGUACAACAUUUGUCUUCAUGUGCAAUAACAAGUGUUAUUAUAAAUCCUCUUACCUAUUAAUACAUCGAUUUUCUUAAUAAAAAUUAUAAUUUCAAUAAA